GGAAUAUAAGAACUUGUCUCUUAACUUUUAACUAAAAAAAUUAAGAACCGGCUCUUAAAUAAGAGUUUUAAGAGACGGUUCUUAACUUUUUUAGUUAAAAGUUAAGAGACAGUUUCUUAUAUUCC
Molecule: microRNA precursor, 125 nt
Filed under: Brassica napus (rape)
Lineage: Eukaryota; Viridiplantae; Streptophyta; Magnoliopsida; Brassicales; Brassicaceae
Description: MIR9563 microRNA precursor family
Rfam family: MIR9563 microRNA precursor family
Source: Rfam by way of RNAcentral